AAAAUCAAUUCAUGGUACCCAACAAAGCUUCAACCUCAAAGCUUCACCUACAAAGCUUCAACACCAAAACUUCACCUACAAAAGCUUCACACUAUCUUGAUCAAGAUAAUGUGAAGCAAAAUCAAUUCAUGGUACCCAACAAAGCUUAAACCUCAAAGCUUCACCUACAAAACUUCAACACCAAAGCUUCACCUACAAAGCUUUAAAAAAAAAAAAAAAAAUUUCGAAAAUUCGGAAAUUCAGAAAUUCGAAAAUUAGAAAAUUAGAAAAAAAAAAUUUCAAAAAAAAAA
This 290-nucleotide long non-coding RNA is filed under the name Malus domestica (apple). Its description in RNAcentral is "long non-coding RNA (MDOM_LNC005099)". The record is from RNAcentral. Lineage: Eukaryota; Viridiplantae; Streptophyta; Magnoliopsida; Rosales; Rosaceae.